Long non-coding RNA from Bufo bufo (common toad), 837 nucleotides. RefSeq lists it as uncharacterized. NCBI's taxonomy places the organism in Eukaryota, Metazoa, Chordata, Amphibia, Anura, Bufonidae. The transcript has 5 exons. The record is from RefSeq and is a predicted model, not a curated record.
AAGAAGUGCUGCAGUGGCGCCGCCCCUCGCUCCUUUUGCGCUGAGCCGCGGCUCUGAUGUGGCGGGAGGAGAUGGCGCUCUGGUGGUGGCCUCUGUGCAGAGCAGAUAGCGGCCGCGUGUCUCCACAUGUUUUCGGUGGUGACACAAGAGUAAGCACUCAGGAGCAGCUCGACAUGUGGGAUGAACACACUGAGGACUCAUCAUAUCCUGAUGGACUCUGCGUGGGAGAACUUAACUAGAGAGCUGUACGCAACUGACGGGGAGCAGCACCUCCUCACAAAGAGAAUGGUUAAGGUAAAGAUUCGCUGGCACACCUGAUCUAUUUUUGUGUGAAAUGCUGCCACCAUGCAGUGAAUUGGGUGCUCAAAAAUGAAGCCUAUAUAUGUGCCACCAGCAGCUGAUGUUACGAAGAUCAAGAUGUAAUGGGACCUGACCUUGACAGAAAAACAAAUGCAAGUGGGCCUUAAUACUAUAAUAGGCUUGGUAGUUAAAGGAGUUUAUGUUCUCAUCAGUUCCAAAAUGGAAUUAAAUUGAGGAUGAGGCGGAAGCUUCCACCACUCCUAAAUCGCUCUCGUGGCCCACUGCAGAGGAUCCAGAGGUGAAUGAGUAACCAGGGACUUCUGCUGCAUCCAACCCACCAGCUGCCGAACCAGUUAGUGUCCAGACACCAUUCCAGAGCCCUGAUCACCCGGCGACUGAGCAUGCCAUCCACUGCAGCAGCUAUAGGCCAAAGAGUUCUGGAAUACAUCUUGGAAGCUCAAUCUGAGAAUGACGAUGUCCUUUCCCUCGGAAGUUUGGCAUCUCGACUCCUGGCAAUUCCUGCAGCACUGCAAUUGU